UACGGGGGGAGCAAGCGUUGUUCGGAUUUACUGGGCGUAAAGGGCGCGUAGGCGGCCAGCACAAGUCAGUUGUGAAAUCUCCGAGCUUAACUCGGAACGGUCAAGUGAUACUGUCGGACUAGAGUACAGAAGGGGCAACUGGAAUUCUCGGUGUAGCGGUGAAAUGCGUAGAUAUCGAGAGGAACACCUGCGGCGAAGGCGGGUUGCUGGGCUGAUACUGACGCUGAGGCGCGAAAGCCAGGGGAGCGAACGGGG
Molecule: ribosomal RNA, 255 nt
Filed under: uncultured bacterium
Lineage: Bacteria
Description: partial 16S ribosomal RNA
Rfam family: Bacterial small subunit ribosomal RNA
Source: RNAcentral